Long non-coding RNA from Rhineura floridana, 1549 nucleotides. RefSeq lists it as uncharacterized. The record is from RefSeq and is a predicted model, not a curated record. The transcript has 3 exons. NCBI's taxonomy places the organism in Eukaryota, Metazoa, Chordata, Lepidosauria, Squamata, Rhineuridae.
GGAAAGCUUCUGGUUUUUGAUGGGGGGGCAGCGUUUUCAAACAGAGAUGACAAGACUGGAACAGAAGAAUCUAAGAGGCAGAUAUACAAGAGCACUGCUGCUCUAAGAAGAACCCCCCCCAUGUUAAAUAAGUGAAAUAAAAGUGAAGCAGCUUGUUUUCUAGUUGAAGACGCGAUGGGAUAGAGUCUCAAGGACAGGAAACAGCACAGGCAAAGUGAAGUCUUGCUUCAACAAAUUAGGAUAGAAAAAGAGCAAAUUUUAUUUACAGAAAUAGGGUAUGGAUGGCUAUUAAUUAAGACAGUCAACAAAUGUAUCUUCCUGCAGAGAGUGUCCCUAAGUAUUAAUCUGAUGGCAGCUGGAACCCAUUAGCAGAGCUUGGAGUAUUGUGCUAGUGCUGUGUUGGAUAUUUUUCUCAGUUUUUUUUUUUACCAUUUGCCAUCAAUUUCUGAGAAAAGAAAUUGCAAACUAUCAAGGGAGUAAAAGAAAAUGCAACAAGAAGAUUGACUUGCUUUGAGGAGGGAGCACUUACUCUCUGGGAGGCCUGUUUGUUGGAGCCAGUACUUGCCAGCCAGCUCAAAUGUGUGACUCCUGACAGAGCUGGUGUUCAGCAGAGCCAGCAACUCCUGAGAGGGAAGAGGAUCCAUGGAGCUUUCUGCCAACUCUUCCACCACCACCACCCCUCUGCCAGCUUCCCGGCAUUUGGAUUGCUCUGUUAGUGAUGGCCACAGAUGGUGACUCAAAAAGGUUAACCUCAGCAAUACAUAAAAUAAUGUUAAAUGCAUCCUACAAUUCGACAGAAAGUUUGAGAACAUGUUGGAAUCAUGAAUUUCCGAUAGAAAUAGAUCCAGGGGACUGGAGGAUGCAGUGGGUAAAACCUCCAUAUCGAUCCAUUUCAUUUAGAAAUAAGGAAUUUUUCCUAAAAAUAAUUUACCAGUGGCACUUAACCCCACAAAAAUUAUCAUUAAUUAACUCAAGUUUGUCACCAAGUUGUUGGAGGGGCUGUAAUGUGAUGGGUACAUAUUUACAUCCAUGGUGGAAAUGUUCCAGUGUACAAAUAUUUUGUACCAAUGUAUUCCAGGAAAUAAACAAGAAAACGAAUCAACAAGUUAAUGCUAUUUGUUCAUAGAAAAGGAUUCAGAUCUGCAAAAUAAAGCAUUGCUUACAUAUUUAUUAGUCAUGACAUGUUUCACAGUGGCAUGCUUUUGGAAGGACCUAUCCAAAGCUAACAUAGAAUAUUGGUAUAAACUGGUCUGGAAUGAAGCAUUUUUAGAUAAACUAUACACUUAUUUUGACUUGGUAUGAUUUUGUACAAUACACAGACCAGAAAGAACAUGAUCAAGUUCUUUUGCGAGCACAUAGAUGGAUAUGUUUUCUUUAAUUGGGUCUUUUCCCCUCUCUUUUCUGGUUUAUCCCAUAACCAAAAAGCAGAACGGAAAAAUAAGCACAAGUAAGAUACUGAAAAUUGUAAUUGAAAAUAUCCUGACUUUAAAAGUUGAAUUCCAUAAAUGUGUUAUAACACCAACCAAUAUGAGUUUCUUUUAAAUUAGUC